UACGGGGGGGGCAAGCGUUGUUCGGAAUUACUGGGCGUAAAGGGCGCGUAGGCGGAUGGUCAAGUCUGGGGUGAAAGCCCAGGGCUCAACUGUGGAAAUGCGGGAGAUACUGUCAAUCUUGAGUCCGGAAGAGGGGGGUGGAAUUCCCAGUGUAGAGGUGAAAUGCGUAGAUAUUAGGAGGAACACCAGUGGCGAAGGCGGCUCGCUGGUCCGACACUGGCGCUGAGGUGCGAAAGCGUGGGGAGCAAACAGG
This 253-nucleotide ribosomal RNA is filed under the name uncultured bacterium. RNAcentral's name for it is "partial 16S ribosomal RNA". It matches the Rfam family "Bacterial small subunit ribosomal RNA", at positions 524 to 776 of the family's 1533-position model. The record is from RNAcentral.